Molecule: non-coding RNA, 144 nt
Organism: Podarcis lilfordi (Lilford's wall lizard)
Lineage: Eukaryota; Metazoa; Chordata; Lepidosauria; Squamata; Lacertidae
Source: the annotation of a GenBank genome assembly
GCUCCACGCAGCCUCUCCCGGCAGGAGGGGUUGUGCGGGGCUAAAGAGGAAGCCAAAGCAGCGAGCAGGAUCCAUCCCACUCGCUGCCUUGGCUUUUGCCAUAGCCGCGCACAACCCCUCUGGCAGGGAGAGGUUGUGUGCAGC